RNAcentral lists this transfer RNA (56 nucleotides) under Crenidorsum sp. RNAcentral's name for it is "tRNA-Ser". Lineage: Eukaryota; Metazoa; Arthropoda; Insecta; Hemiptera; Aleyrodidae. The record is from RNAcentral.
AAGUUAAACUUGAUAAUUUGAAAUUAUCUAAAAAAAUUAAUUAAUUUUUUAACUUU